Abrus precatorius (Indian licorice) is the source of this 92-nucleotide small nucleolar RNA. RefSeq annotates it as small nucleolar RNA snoR117. The record is from RefSeq and is a predicted model, not a curated record. The transcript has a single exon. Lineage: Eukaryota; Viridiplantae; Streptophyta; Magnoliopsida; Fabales; Fabaceae.
GGCCUAUGAUGCAUGAUCAAUUUGUCCGUACCAUCUGAGACAUUUUCUUUAUAAUGUCUCUGACGAAUACUCAUUUUUUUAAUCUGAGGCCU